This 577-nucleotide unclassified non-coding RNA is filed under the name Aspergillus ochraceopetaliformis. RNAcentral's name for it is "sequence contains 18S rRNA gene, ITS1, 5.8S rRNA gene, ITS2, 28S rRNA gene". The stretch from base 199 to 352 matches the Rfam family "5.8S ribosomal RNA". Lineage: Eukaryota; Fungi; Ascomycota; Eurotiomycetes; Eurotiales; Aspergillaceae. The record is from RNAcentral.
GAUCAUUACUGAGUGAGGGUUCCUUCGGGGCCCAACCUCCCACCCUUGUAUACUGUACCAAGUUGCUUCGGCGGGCCCGCCGUUCGCGCGGCCGCCGGGGGGGAACCCCUCCCCCCGGGCGAGCGCCCGCCGGAGACCCCAACGUGAACACUGUCUGAAGUUUUGUCGUCUGAGUUCGAUUGUAUCGCAAUCAGUUAAAACUUUCAACAAUGGAUCUCUUGGUUCCGGCAUCGAUGAAGAACGCAGCGAAAUGCGAUAAUUAAUGUGAAUUGCAGAAUUCAGUGAAUCAUCGAGUCUUUGAACGCACAUUGCACCCCCUGGUAUUCCGGGGGGUAUGCCUGUCCGAGCGUCAUUGCUGCCCUCAAGCCCGGCUUGUGUGUUGGGUCCUCGUCCCCCCCCGGGGGACGGGCCCGAAAGGCAGCGGCGGCACCGCGUCCGGUCCUCGAGCGUAUGGGGCUUUGUCACACCGCUCUCGUAGGCCCGGCCGGCGCUGGCCGACGCUGAAAAGCAACCAUUAUUUCUCCAGGUUGACCUCGGAUCAGGUAGGGAUACCCGCUGAACUUAAGCAUAUCAAUAA